Molecule: long non-coding RNA, 277 nt
Organism: Monomorium pharaonis (pharaoh ant)
Lineage: Eukaryota; Metazoa; Arthropoda; Insecta; Hymenoptera; Formicidae
Exons: 2
Source: RefSeq, a predicted model, not a curated record
CGCGUUCGCCGGGAUGUUGCCACCGCUUAUCGGCACCCACGUGGGUCUGCAGCCGCAAAGAACCUGCGGAAAUGCAAUGGAAAACUUUUUGUAAACUGGAAAGCGCAUGGCGGGAAUAUUUUGCAAUUUCUGUGACUUACCUGGUAGUCCGACUUUCCAUGCUCGGCGCCGCCCCAGGCGACGUAGCAAACGGAAUGACUGGGCUUCACCUUGCCAGGGAUGAGGGCACCCUCAUGUUGAGCCCUACCGACGAACAGAGACUCGCCGUCGUGUCCAC